CCUACGGGCGGCAGCAGUGAGGAAUAUUAGUCAAUGGACGAGAGUCUGAACCAGCCAAGUAGCGUGAAGGAUGACUGCCCUAUGGGUUGUAAACUUCUUUUAUAUGGGAAUAAAAUGUUCCACGUGUGGGAUUUUGUAUGUACCAUAUGAAUAAGGAUCGGCUAACUCCGUGCCAGCAGCCGCGGUAAUACGGAGGAUCCGAGCGUUAUCCGGAUUUAUUGGGUUUAAAGGGAGCGUAGGUGGAUUGUUAAGUCAGUUGUGAAAGUUUGCGGCUCAACCGUAAAAUUGCAGUUGAAACUGGCAGUCUUGAGUACAGUAGAGGUGGGCGGAAUUCGUGGUGUAGCGGUGAAAUGCUUAGAUAUCACGAAGAACUCCGAUUGCGAAGGCAGUUCACUGGACUGCAACUGACACUGAGGCUCGAAAGUGUGGGUAUCAAACAGGAUUAGAUACCCGUGUAGUC
Molecule: ribosomal RNA, 460 nt
Filed under: uncultured bacterium
Lineage: Bacteria
Description: partial 16S ribosomal RNA
Rfam family: Bacterial small subunit ribosomal RNA
Source: RNAcentral